GACGAACGCUGGCGGCGUGCUUAACACAUGCAAGUCGAGCGGUAAGACCCUUUCGGGGGUACACGAGCGGCGAACGGGUGAGUAACACGUGGGUGACCUGCCCUCAGCUCUGGGAUAAGCCUGGGAAACCGGGUCUAAUACCGGAUAUGACUCCAUGACGCAUGUUGUGGGGUGGAAAGCCUUGUGCGGCUGAGGAUGGGCCCGCGGCCUAUCAGCUUGUUGGUGGGGUGANGGCCUACCAAGGCGACGACGGGUAGCCGGCCUGAGAGGGCGACCGGCCACACUGGGACUGAGACACGGCCCAGACUCCUACGGGAGGCAGCAGUGGGGAAUCUUGCGCAAUGGGCGAAAGCCUGACGCAGCGACGCCGCGUGAGGGAUGACGGCCUCGGUUGUAACGUACUU
RNAcentral lists this ribosomal RNA (404 nucleotides) under uncultured bacterium. RNAcentral's name for it is "bacterial SSU rRNA". It matches the Rfam family "Bacterial small subunit ribosomal RNA", at positions 28 to 435 of the family's 1533-position model. The record is from RNAcentral.